RNAcentral lists this ribosomal RNA (482 nucleotides) under uncultured bacterium. Its description in RNAcentral is "partial 16S ribosomal RNA". It matches the Rfam family "Bacterial small subunit ribosomal RNA", at positions 30 to 507 of the family's 1533-position model. The record is from RNAcentral.
AUUGAACGCUGGCGGCAUGCCUUACACAUGCAAGUCGAACGGUAACAGGUUAUCGGCUGCUGACGAGUGGCGACCGGGUGCGUACUACAUCGGAACGCGCCCAGACGUGGGGGUUAAUGAGGCGUAAGCUAUGCUAAUAUCCCAUACGACCUCAGGCUGAAUGCAGGGGACAGCAGGGCCUCGUGCGACUGUGGCGGCUGAUGUCAGAUUAGGUAGUUGGUGGGAUAAAAGCUUACCAAGCCGACGAUCUGUAGCUGGUCUGAGAGGAUGACCAGCCACACUGGGACUGAGACACGGCCCAGACUCCUACGGGAGGCAGCAGUGGGGAAUUUUGGACAAUGGGCGAAAGCCUGAUCCAGCAAUACCGCGUGCAUGAUGAAGGCCUUCGGGUUGUAAACUGCUUUUGUACGGAACGAAAAGGCGCUGGCUAAUACCUGGGGGACAUGACGGUACCGAAAGAAUAAGCACCGGCUAACUUCGUG